This 85-nucleotide transfer RNA is filed under the name Echinostoma caproni. It matches the Rfam family "tRNA". Rfam says of the family: Transfer RNA (tRNA) molecules are approximately 80 nucleotides in length. Their secondary structure includes four short double-helical elements and three loops (D, anti-codon, and T loops). Lineage: Eukaryota; Metazoa; Platyhelminthes; Trematoda; Plagiorchiida; Echinostomatidae. The record is from Rfam by way of RNAcentral.
AGCUUCGUAGCCCAGCUGGUAGAGCGUGCGCUCUUCAAAAAGCGUAGGCGGCGCCCAUGUGUGGGUUCGAAUUCCACCUGGGCUA